CAUGCAAGUCGAACGAAUGGAUGUCUAGCUUGCUAGACUGAAGUUAGUGGCGAAACGGGUGAGUAAUACAUAGGCAAUCUGCCCUGAAGUGUGGGAUAGCUAUUGGAAACGAUAAUUAAUACCGCAUAGGUAGUAAGAAGGCAUCUUCCUACUAUUUAAAGAUGCGUCUGCAUCGCUGCAGGAUGAGCUUAUGGUGUAUUAGCUAGUUGGUGAGAUAAAAGCCCACCAAGGCUAUGAUACAUAGCUGGUCUGAGAGGAUGAACAGCCACAUUGGGACUGAGACACGGCCCAGACUCCUACGGGAGGCAGCAGUAAGGAAUUUUCGGCAAUGGGGGCAACCCUGACCGAGCAACGCCGCGUGAGUGAUGAAGGUCUUCGGAUCGUAAAACUCUGUUGUAAAGGAAGAAUGUCAUAUAUAGGAAAUGAUAUAUGAGUGACGGUACUUUACUAGAAAGUCACGGCUUACUACGUG
RNAcentral lists this ribosomal RNA (472 nucleotides) under uncultured bacterium. RNAcentral's name for it is "bacterial SSU rRNA". It matches the Rfam family "Bacterial small subunit ribosomal RNA", at positions 54 to 507 of the family's 1533-position model. The record is from RNAcentral.